UACGGAGGGUGCGAGCGUUAUUCGGAAUUACUGGGCGUAAAGCGCGUGUAGGCGGGGAUGCAAGUCUGAUGUGAAAGCCCCGGGCUUAACCUGGGAAGUGCAUUGGAAACUGCAUUUCUUGAGUGCUGGAGAGGAAGGGGGAAUUCCCGGUGUAGAGGUGAAAUUCGUAGAGAUCGGGAGGAAUACCAGUGGCGAAGGCGCCCUUCUGGACGGCAACUGACGCUGAGACGCGAAAGCGUGGGGAGCAAACAGG
This 253-nucleotide ribosomal RNA is filed under the name uncultured bacterium. Its description in RNAcentral is "partial 16S ribosomal RNA". It matches the Rfam family "Bacterial small subunit ribosomal RNA", at positions 524 to 776 of the family's 1533-position model. The record is from RNAcentral.